RNAcentral lists this ribosomal RNA (274 nucleotides) under uncultured bacterium. RNAcentral's name for it is "partial 16S ribosomal RNA". It matches the Rfam family "Bacterial small subunit ribosomal RNA", at positions 523 to 796 of the family's 1533-position model. The record is from RNAcentral.
AUACGGAGGGUGCAAGCGUUACUCGGAAUCACUGGGCGUAAAGGACGCGUAGGCGGGUUGGUAAGUCAGGUGUGAAAUCCUACAGCUUAACUGUAGAACUGCACUUGAAACUACCAACCUAGAGUAUGGGAGGGGGAGAUGGAAUUAGUGGUGUAGGGGUAAAAUCCGUAGAUAUCACUAGGAAUACCGAAAGCGAAGGCGAUCUCCUGGAACAUAACUGACGCUAAGGCGUGAAAGCGUGGGGAGCAAACAGGAUUAGAAACCCCAGUAGUCC